GGCCUACGGGUGGCUGCAGUGGGGAAUAUUGGACAAUGGGGGGAACCCUGAUCCAGCCAUGCCGCGUGUGUGAAGAAGGCCUUAUGGUUGUAAAGCACUUUAAGCGAGGAGGAGGCUACUAGUAUUAAUACUACUGGAUAGUGGACGUUACUCGCAGAAUAAGCACCGGCUAACUCUGUGCCAGCAGCCGCGGUAAUACAGAGGGUGCGAGCGUUAAUCGGAUUUACUGGGCGUAAAGCGUGCGUAGGCGGCCAUUUAAGUCAAAUGUGAAAUCCCCGAGCUUAACUUGGGAAUUGCAUUCGAUACUGGAUGGCUAGAGUAUGGGAGAGGAUGGUAGAAUUCCAGGUGUAGCGGUGAAAUGCGUAGAGAUCUGGAGGAAUACCGAUGGCGAAGGCAGCCAUCUGGCCUAAUACUGACGCUGAGGUACGAAAGCAUGGGGAGCAAACAGGAUUAGAUACCCUGGUAGUC
Molecule: ribosomal RNA, 468 nt
Filed under: uncultured bacterium
Lineage: Bacteria
Description: bacterial SSU rRNA
Rfam family: Bacterial small subunit ribosomal RNA
Source: RNAcentral